UACAGAGGUCUCAAGCGUUGUUCGGAUUCAUUGGGCGUAAAGGGUGUGUAGGUGGCGCCGUAAGUCGGGUGUGAAAUUUCGGAGCUUAACUCCGAAACUGCAUUCGAUACUGCGGUGCUUGAGGACUGGAGAGGAGACUGGAAUUCAUGGUGUAGCAGUGAAAUGCGUAGAGAUCGGGAGGAACACCAGUAGCGAAGGCGGCACUCUGGGCCGGUACUGACGCUGAGGAGCGAAAGCGUGGGGAGCAAACAGG
This 253-nucleotide ribosomal RNA is filed under the name uncultured bacterium. Its description in RNAcentral is "partial 16S ribosomal RNA". It matches the Rfam family "Bacterial small subunit ribosomal RNA", at positions 524 to 776 of the family's 1533-position model. The record is from RNAcentral.